GUGUCAGCAGCCGCGGUAAUACCAGCUCUCCGAGUGGUGUGGAUGUUUAUUGGGCCUAAAGCAUCCGUAGCUGGCCAAGUUAGUCCCUUGUUAAACCCACCGAAUUAAUCGUUGGCGUGCGGGGGAUACUGCUCGGCUAGGGGACGAGAGAGGCAGACGGUAUUCUCGGGGUAGGGGUGAAAUCCUAUAAUCCCGAGAAGACCACCAGUGGCGAAGGCUGUCUGCUAGAACGCGCCCGACGGUGAGGGAUGAAAGCUGGGGGAGCGAACCGGAUUAGAAACCCCCGUAGUCC
RNAcentral lists this ribosomal RNA (292 nucleotides) under uncultured bacterium. RNAcentral's name for it is "partial 16S ribosomal RNA". It matches the Rfam family "Archaeal small subunit ribosomal RNA", at positions 455 to 747 of the family's 1478-position model. The record is from RNAcentral.